GUUAGCUUUUUGCCUCCUUGGAAGAACCCAAAGACCAGACCAGCCUUGGCUGCCUGUGAUGUUUGGAGAAAUAGUUACUGGAAUUAAAUUUCCAUGUUGUUCCUGGACUCCCUGCUGAAUCUCGGAGAACUAUUUCCCAAGGAAGAAGGAUUGAGUCUGAGUCUUCUGUUCAUCUAGGAUGGGGGGGAGGGGGCAUUGGGACUCAGCGAUACUUAGAGGCUGCUACUGGUGUUGAGAAAUUCUAUUGGCCUAUCCUUCCCUUGGGCAACACCACUCUCGAGUCAAAGGAAUUGUGUUCAGAUCCUGGCACUGUCACUUACUACUGGUGUGAUCCUGGACAAAUCACUUAAUUUCUUUUAGCCUUUGUUUCCUUAUCUGUAAAAUGGAACAGAUAAAUUCUAUAGUCUCUUCUAGUUCUAAAUAUAUGAUCUUAUUAAUCCUCUCCUUUAUCCUCAGUCAUUGAAUAUCAAGAGUUGAAAACAAGUUCAAUAGCCAACUAGUCUUAAUUCAUCCUUGUGUGGGAUAAAAAUCGAUUACAAGUGCCCCACUCACUCAAAUAAACAGAAUCAGAAGGUGUUUAUUCCCCUUCAUGAAAGAAAGCACUCCAACAAUGGGCUAAAAAGUGCCAACUGACUAGGUAGCAAACAGGCAAUAUAUAUCCGAGGUUCCUCCCCUCUCCCUUGUCAGGUCCUCAAACCAGGCUUUGACCUGCAAAUCAAAACACCUGUGCUUCCAACCAAACUCAGGUGAGGCAAGGGAAGCAACCAAGAGGUUCAAGCCCCCUUCUGUCCAUCAUCAGUCUCUCUUACAAACCUGUCACAGAGUCCUGAACCAACAAAAAGGGAACAAACUAGCUUCUAUAAGCUAAAUGCUCACUCUGAGAAUAACACACUCAAUUCUAUCCCACACAAUACAGAAAAAACAGAUUCUGCUACAAUAUACCCAGCAAGUGGUCAACCAGCCUUUGAAGACAUUUGCUGUUGUUCGGCUGUGUUCGAUUCUUCUUGACCCCAUUGUUUUCGUGGCAAAGAUACUGGAGUUUUCCUUCUUGGGCUUAUUUUACAGGUUCCUACUCUGGGGUUUUCUGACCAUCCUUGGACCAUUCUGGGACUUUGGGAGAGGAGAUUGGCUUUUGCUGCCAAGGGACCACACAGCCAUGGACUCUGUCAUUCUAGGAAGUCAUGCUGGUUUGCCUGCAAAUUGGUGAUGACUUUGUUGGCCCUUCAGCUAUUGCUAGUGGGUUUCUGGCUGACAUUUUGUAUAGUUCUAGGAUAGAAGAAGUCACUAUAAAUUUUCAAUGGACUUUUAGUUUAUUAUGCAGUUUGUUGGGACUUUUAGGUUUUUACUGGCACAAUAUGUGGGAGCUGGCCUGCUUGUCUCUUUUCAGGCAGUCAUUUUGUCCAGAGGUCCAAGAAAACGACUUUUAAUACCUGCCUUCAGCACUUUGGCAUAUACCUCCUGUUCCUAUGUUUUAUGUAAAUCCUAAAGUCUGGGCUGAUUGGAAAAGACUGAAAAUGAUGAUAACUUUUGGCUCAUUUUCUCCUAGCAACAAACCACAGUCUGGUCUCUCUCUGUUCUUACAACGCAGAUGCAUACCUUGUUGAUAUUCAUGAAUUGUUUAUAAAAAGUAUUAUAGGAAUGUGAAAUUCUUAACUGUUUUAAGC
This 1664-nucleotide long non-coding RNA is filed under the name Monodelphis domestica (gray short-tailed opossum). RNAcentral's name for it is "lncRNA (ENSMODG00000045628.1)". The record is from RNAcentral. Lineage: Eukaryota; Metazoa; Chordata; Mammalia; Didelphimorphia; Didelphidae.